AACAUUUUAAGGUUAUGCUUUUUAUUUUUACAUUGUAAUGUUUUUAUAAUUGUAAUUUGUAAUUUGUAUGUCCAGGUAACUAGGUAAGUCACAUGUUUAAUUAGCUAAUAAAUAACUAUACUGUUUACUCAUAUUUGACUAUGUUUUGCACGACCAGUGAUUUAAGGAGUUUAAUGAUUUUAUAAUACAGUAGAUAACCCUGAUAACCACUAGCCACAAGCAAUGGAUGAAUUUACUGAAAAAACACUCAAAAACUGGGGAUUUGAAAAUCUUAUUAACCCUUUUAAAGAAGAAGAUAUUGAUAUGGUAGCAUUUCUUGGCCUAACAGAAAGUAUGAUAGCUAAAUUUUUACCUAAAAUGGGACAUCAAUCAAAAUUUAAUGGACUUUUGGUAUCUCUUAGAGAAACAAUCAACCGAGAUAAGGAAACUUACUCAUUGAUAUCUGAUGAACAAAUGACGUUAACAUCAUCCGAGUCUAUUGAUAUUAGUAACUUAAAUUUUAUCAUUUCUUCUGAUGAAUUACAUCCUACUUUUACAACUGAUAAAAAUGAAAAUAUACAUGUUGAAUCUAGUUCACAAAAUACAUGUACAAAUAUUUCAAGUACCACAGUAGGAAAUACUUCAGAAAAUAUAAGUUCAAGUGAUAAAUAUAUAAAUGAUAUUUUGAGUAAGUGCAGUGAUGGCUUAAUGAUACUAGACUACUAUAAACUGCGUAACACUCUGAGUUAUACCAUGAGAAAUUUAUUAUCUUCAGUUAUAAUAAAAAAUGAAUUUUUUUCUCAAGCAAACCGACAAAUUACGAAGUCUAAAUUUAUUUAUUUAGCUAAACUUUAGCUGCUAAAGGUAUGAACUCUUCCUGCCAUUUAAUGAAUUAUUAUAUUUAUUUUUAAAAUAUUUUCAUAAAUUUGCUUUAUUUGAUUGAUGAAAUUAUUUAAUUAUUAAAAGGUAUUUCAAAACUAUUUCCUUCUGAAAAUGAAAAUAUAUACUUCACUCCAUAUUUUAAAGAAGGUGAUAUAAAAAGUCCAAACAGAGGAAAAUUAUAUGAUAAGUAUUGUAAUUUAAAAAGAAAUGUUGUAAAAAUUAAUAGCUCAAUUAAAAGAAAAUAUAUAGAAUCCCAAGAUCAACUCUCAGAAGGUUUAUACUGAUAUAAUAAUUUAUUAGUGUUAUUUUUUUUUUAAAAAAGUAGAUUUUUAUAUAAUUUAAUUGAAUCAUAUUUUUUAAUACAAUUUUUGUUGCACUAGUUGAUUUCCAAGAUUCUUUAAACUGGUUAAAAAAUAAUGUAGAACCAGUAGGAGUCCUUCAUAAGCUCUGGAAAGAAACAGCACCAUUUAGAUUAACUUCUCAAAAAAAUGUUAAUGUCAUGGAUAAUAUAUCCAGCUCUGAGAAAACCUACUGGUCAUUUACUCAUUGAUAUAGAUUUUGACCAUUUGUACCCUAACAAAGAAAUGUAUUUAUAUCAAAAAUUUGACUCUUUCAAGGAAAAGUUUAAAAUGUUAUUAAAACAGAAACCUAUACAAUUUGGAUCAAACUCUUCAUAUUUUCUGACAAUGCUUAGUGACCCUAAAAGACCUGGCAAGUGUAUACCAUAGUAAUUAUGAGUAACCAUAGGUUAUUUAUGAAACAAUAAUCAUUUUUAUUACAGGGGAUGAUGAUUUGGCUACACUUAUGUUACUGCCAUACAUGUUUCAACCAACUAAUGUAGCUAUCAAAAACAAAAAGACAUACAGACCGUCCAAAAUUGAGCAAUCAAGGUCAUUUAUUACACAUAUUUCAAAUGCUAACGAACUAAAACAUUGCAUAAACAAAAGGUGGAUGGUGCAUUUAACUUGAAUUUGACAGUGCAGCCUUACACUGUUAUAGUUGGAGAUAUUGAUGGUUUAGAGCCUUUGCUCAGUUAUGUUGUCAUAAACAAUACCCAGUAUUUAUUGGAGACGCCUAUCAAAGCUAUUGAUAUUUGUUUCAAAGCUUUUCAUUCCCUGAACUUCGAAUAUCCAUUACAAUCAAAGCAAGUAUGGUGCUUCAUUGAACAAUAUUUUUUGGUAUGGUGAAUCCAAUAAAAGGAAAACAGUUUUUGUCCAUACAAACAUUAAUGAAAGAUUUACAACCAUAUUCCGGUACCUUGGCUGAACCUACAUAAUUUAAUGGUAUUAUUUUAUAAUUGCUUUAUUUUUACAUAUAAUUUUAUACAUAACUAUUAGUUACUAAUCUUACGAAUAUGCCUUCCUGUUUUUUGUGUGACUCGUUUUACCAGUCUGUAAAUCUGUUGAUUACACAUAUUCAUAUUUAUCACAGCAUUAAUGAUAUAACAGAGUUUGUUUGUAAAGAGUCAAAUUGUUUUAGAAUUUUUGAUAGUUUAAAUUCAUACAAAAAGCAUUUAAAAAAUAGCCAUAAAUUAAAUAGCAAUCUUCAAAAUCAAAUCUCAAACAACAGUAACCUAGAAAUACAUCAACCAGAUUCAUCUAAUUUAAUAAAUUUACCUAUCAUAAACACAGAAGAAAUUCCUUUUUCUGAAAAUAUUGUCUUACCGUCCAAUUUUAUAGAUAACUUAAAAGAAAAGUUACAACUAAGUGCGUUGCAACUAAUUAGUAAAUGGUAUUCUAACAAUUCUAUCCCAAGAAAUAUAGUACAAACUUUACUCGAAGAUAUUACUAAUUUUAAUGAUUCUUUUUUAAAUAUCUUGAAACAAAAAGUUCUUAAUGAUAUAACUAACUUUGUUCCAUCAAAAAAUACUGAAGAAUAUAAUG
This 2744-nucleotide unclassified non-coding RNA is filed under the name Acyrthosiphon pisum (pea aphid). RNAcentral's name for it is "uncharacterized LOC107885738, transcript variant X1". Lineage: Eukaryota; Metazoa; Arthropoda; Insecta; Hemiptera; Aphididae. The record is from RNAcentral.